CCUACGGGUGGCAGCAGUGGGGAAUAUUGGGCAAUGGGCGCAAGCCUGACCCAGCAACGCCGCGUGAAGGAAGAAGGCUUUCGGGUUGUAAACUUCUUUUCUCAGGGACGAAGAAAGUGACGGUACCUGAGGAAUAAGCCACGGCAAACUACGUGCCAGCAGCCGCGGUAAUACGUAGGUGGCAAGCGUUAUCCGGAUUUAUUGGGUGUAAGGGGGGGUAGGCGGGAGCGCAAGGCCGAUGUGAAAAACCAGGGCUCAACCCUGAGCCUGCAUUUGAAACUGUUGUUCUUGGGUGCUGGAGAGGCAAUCGGAAUUCCGUGUGUAGCGGUGAAAUGCGUAGAUAUACGGAGGAACACCAGUGGCGAAGGCGGAUUGCUGGACAGUAACUGACGCUGAGGCGCGAAAGCGUGGGGAGCAAACAGGAUUAGAUACCCGGGUAGUC
RNAcentral lists this ribosomal RNA (442 nucleotides) under uncultured bacterium. RNAcentral's name for it is "partial 16S ribosomal RNA". It matches the Rfam family "Bacterial small subunit ribosomal RNA", at positions 338 to 795 of the family's 1533-position model. The record is from RNAcentral.